This 470-nucleotide ribosomal RNA is filed under the name uncultured bacterium. Its description in RNAcentral is "bacterial SSU rRNA". It matches the Rfam family "Bacterial small subunit ribosomal RNA", at positions 355 to 825 of the family's 1533-position model. The record is from RNAcentral.
UGGGGAAUAUUGGGCAAUGGGCGCAAGCCUGACCCAGCCACGCCGCGUGAGUGAUGAAGGCCUUCGGGUCGUAAAGCUCUGUGGGGAAGGACGAAAAACAUUGGCUAAUAUCCAAUGGCUUGACGGUACUUCCUUAGCAAGCACCGGCUAACUCUGUGCCAGCAGCCGCGGUAAUACAGAGGGUGCAAACGUUGCUCGGAAUCAUUGGGCGUAAAGGGCGCGUAGGCGGCAUGACAAGUCACUUGUGAAAUCUCUGGGCUUAACCCAGAACGGCCAAGUGAUACUGUCGCGCUAGAGUGCAGAAGGGGCAAUCGGAAUUCUUGGUGUAGCGGUGAAAUGCGUAGAUAUCAAGAGGAACACCUGAGGUGAAGACGGGUUGCUGGGCUGACACUGACGCUGAGGCGCGAAAGCCAGGGGAGCAAACGGGAUUAGAUACCCUAGUAGUCCCUGAGCGGGCUGGCAAGGCGCAU